GACGAAGGUGGCUAGCGUUAUUCGGUGUCACUGGGCUUAAAGCGUAUGUAGGCGGAAAGAUAAGCGUUUUGUGAAAUCCCUCAGCUUAACUGAGGAAUUGCUUGACGAACUAUCUUUCUUGAGGCAAGUAGGGGUGCAUGGAACUCUUGGUGGGGCGGUGGAAUGCGUAGAUAUCAAGAGGAACGCCAAUGGAGAAAUCAGUGCACUGGGCUUGUCCUGACGCUCAGAUACGAAAGCGUGGGUAGCGAACGGG
RNAcentral lists this ribosomal RNA (253 nucleotides) under uncultured bacterium. RNAcentral's name for it is "partial 16S ribosomal RNA". It matches the Rfam family "Bacterial small subunit ribosomal RNA", at positions 524 to 776 of the family's 1533-position model. The record is from RNAcentral.